RNAcentral lists this ribosomal RNA (404 nucleotides) under Actinomycetes bacterium. RNAcentral's name for it is "Actinobacteria bacterium partial 16S ribosomal RNA". It matches the Rfam family "Bacterial small subunit ribosomal RNA", at positions 355 to 776 of the family's 1533-position model. Lineage: Bacteria; Bacillati; Actinomycetota; Actinomycetes. The record is from RNAcentral.
UGGGGAAUAUUGGACAAUGGGCGCAAGCCUGAUCCAGCCAUGCCGCGUGAGUGAUGAAGGCCCUAGGGUUGUAAAGCUCUUUCACCGGUGAAGAUAAUGACGGUAACCGGAGAAGAAGCCCCGGCUAACUUCGUGCCAGCAGCCGCGGUAAUACGAAGGGGGCUAGCGUUGUUCGGAUUUACUGGGCGUAAAGCGCACGUAGGCGGACUAUUAAGUCAGGGGUGAAAUCCCGGGGCUCAACCCCGGAACUGCCUUUGAUACUGGUAGUCUUGAGUUCGAGAGAGGUGAGUGGAAUUCCGAGUGUAGAGGUGAAAUUCGUAGAUAUUCGGGGGAACACCAGUGGCGAAGGCGGCUCACUGGCUCGAUACUGACGCAGGGGUGCGAAAGCGUGGGGAGCAAACAGG